This 242-nucleotide ribosomal RNA is filed under the name uncultured bacterium. RNAcentral's name for it is "partial 16S ribosomal RNA". It matches the Rfam family "Bacterial small subunit ribosomal RNA", at positions 14 to 252 of the family's 1533-position model. The record is from RNAcentral.
GUAUCAUGGCUCAGAUUGAACGCUGGCGGCAGGCUUAACACAUGCAAGUCGAACGGUAACAUAAAGAAGCUUGCUUCUUUGAUGACGAGUGGCGGACGGGUGAGUAAUGCUUGGGAAUCUAGCUUAUGGAGGGGGAUAACUACGGGAAACUGUAGCUAAUACCGCGUAGAAUCGAGAGAUGAAAGUGUGGGACCUUCGGGCCACAUGCCAUAGGAUGAGCCCAAGUGGGAUUAGGUAGUUGG